GAUCCUGGCUCAGGUUGAACGCUAGCCACAGGCUUAACACAUGCAAGUCGAGGGGCAGCAUGGUCUUAGCUUGCUAAGGCCGAUGGCGACCGGCGCACGGGUGAGUAACACGUAUCCAACCUGCCGUCUACUCUUGGACAGCCUUCUGAAAGGAAGAUUAAUACAAGAUGGCAUCAUGAGUCCGCAUGUUCACAUGAUUAAAGGUAUUCCGGUAGACGAUGGGGAUGCG
Molecule: ribosomal RNA, 229 nt
Filed under: uncultured bacterium
Lineage: Bacteria
Description: partial 16S ribosomal RNA
Rfam family: Bacterial small subunit ribosomal RNA
Source: RNAcentral